CUUGCGUUUUUGUUGUUAAAUAAAUCUUCUAUGAAAACAUAAUAGUUUUUUAAUUUUGUUUACUUCUCUGUACGAAAGCAAAAUGAAGACGAUAUAUUAUGUUUUACCUCUUUUAUUGACUUUAAUGGUAGUAUCAGGGAGAUGGUCCAGAAAUAGUUAUGUCGCAGUAAUGCACGAGUGUAAACGUGAAUGUAUCAGGAUAACUUUAAUCUGUGAGUGGCCAUGCCGUAUUUACUCAAAAACUAGAAUGGACUAUAAAUAUUGUGCAGUGGAUUGUAAAUUGGACAGACUAGUUUGUAUGGACGAGUGUGGUCGGUAUGUCAGGAGAUCACCCGUGCGGCGUAGGAAUACGAGGAACUUUCUGUCAAAU
Long non-coding RNA from Mytilus trossulus (common blue mussel), 370 nucleotides. RefSeq lists it as uncharacterized. The record is from RefSeq and is a predicted model, not a curated record. The transcript has 2 exons. Lineage: Eukaryota; Metazoa; Mollusca; Bivalvia; Mytilida; Mytilidae.